CCUACGGGUGGCAGCAGUGAGGAAUAUUGGUCAAUGGGCGCAAGCCUGAACCAGCCAAGCCGCGUGAAGGAUGACUGCCCUACGGGUUGUAAACUUCUUUUGUAAAGGGAUAAAGUGCGGCACGUGUGCCUUUUUGUAUGUACUUUAUGAAUAAGGAUCGGCUAACUCCGUGCCAGCAGCCGCGGUAAUACGGAGGAUCCGAGCGUUAUCCGGAUUUAUUGGGUUUAAAGGGAGCGUAGGUGGGUUGUUAAGUCAGUUGUGAAAGUUUGGGGCUCAACCGCAAAACUGCAAUUGAUACUGGCAGACUUGAGUACAGUUGAGGUAGGCGGAAUUCGUGGUGUAGCGGUGAAAUGCUUAGAUAUCACGAAGAACUCCGAUUGCGAAGGCAGCUUACUAAACUGCCACUGACGUUGAGGCACGAAAGCGUGGGUAUCAAACAGGAUUAGAUACCCGGGUAGUC
RNAcentral lists this ribosomal RNA (460 nucleotides) under uncultured bacterium. Its description in RNAcentral is "partial 16S ribosomal RNA". It matches the Rfam family "Bacterial small subunit ribosomal RNA", at positions 338 to 795 of the family's 1533-position model. The record is from RNAcentral.